Molecule: ribosomal RNA, 425 nt
Filed under: uncultured bacterium
Lineage: Bacteria
Description: bacterial SSU rRNA
Rfam family: Bacterial small subunit ribosomal RNA
Source: RNAcentral
GGGGAAUAUUGGACAAUGGGCGCAAGCCUGAUCCAGCAAUGCCGCGUGUGUGAAGAAGGCCUGCGGGUUGUAAAGCACUUUAAGCAGGAAAGAAGGCUUCAGGGUUAAUACCCUUGGGGAUUGACGUUACCUGCAGAAUAAGCACCGGCUAACUCCGUGCCAGCAGCCGCGGUAAUACGGAGGGUGCGAGCGUUAAUCGGAAUUACUGGGCGUAAAGCGCGCGUAGGCGGUUUGCUAAGUCCGCUGUGAAAGCCCCGGGCUUAACCUGGGAACUGCAGUGGAUACUGGCAAGCUAGAGUAUGGUAGAGGAGAGUGGAAUUUCCGGUGUAGCAGUGAAAUGCGUAGAGAUCGGAAGGAACACCAGUGGCGAAGGCGGCUCUCUGGACCAAUACUGACGCUGAGGUGCGAAAGCGUGGGGAGCAAAC